Molecule: ribosomal RNA, 468 nt
Filed under: uncultured bacterium
Lineage: Bacteria
Description: partial 16S ribosomal RNA
Rfam family: Bacterial small subunit ribosomal RNA
Source: RNAcentral
GACGAACGCUGGCGGCGUGCUUAACACAUGCAAGUCGAACGGAAAGGCCCUGCUUUUGUGGGGUGCUCGAGUGGCGAACGGGUGAGUAACACGUGAGUAACCUGCCCUUGACUUUGGGAUAACUUCAGGAAACUGGGGCUAAUACCGGAUAGGAGCUCCUGCUGCAUGGUGGGGGUUGGAAAGUUUCGGCGGUUGGGGAUGGACUCGCGGCUUAUCAGCUUGUUGGUGGGGUAGUGGCUUACCAAGGCUUUGACGGGUAGCCGGCCUGAGAGGGUGACCGGCCACAUUGGGACUAAGAUACGCCCCAGAGUCCUACGGGAGGCAGCAGUGGAGAGUAUUGCACAAUGAGGCGAAGCCUGAUGCAGCGGCGCCGCGUGCGGGAUGACGGCCUUCGGGUUGUAAACCGCUUUCGCCUGUGACGAAGCGUGAGUGACGGUAAUGGGUAAAGAAGCACCGGCUAACUACGUG